This 57-nucleotide non-coding RNA is filed under the name unclassified sequences. The record is from Rfam.
GAACGUUGGCCCCAGUGGGGGCGCAGUUCGAUCUCAAACAGGCAACGGGGUUUGAGA